RNAcentral lists this ribosomal RNA (292 nucleotides) under uncultured bacterium. Its description in RNAcentral is "partial 16S ribosomal RNA". It matches the Rfam family "Bacterial small subunit ribosomal RNA", at positions 505 to 796 of the family's 1533-position model. The record is from RNAcentral.
GUGCCAGCAGCCGCGGUAAGACGUAGGAUGCGAGCGUUGUCCGGAUUUAUUGGGCGUAAAGAGUUCGUAGGCGGUUCGUUAAGUUCGAUGUUAAAGAUCGGGGCCCAACCCCGGGACUGCAUUGAAUACUGGCGGACUGGAGUGCAGUAGAGGCAAGUGGAAUUCCCAGUGUAGCGGUGAAAUGCGUAGAUAUUGGGAAGAACACCAGUGGCGUAAGCGACUUGCUGGGCUGUAACUGACGCUGAGGAACGAAAGCCAGGGGAGCGAAUGGGAUUAGAUACCCCAGUAGUCC